UGCAAGUCGAGCGGAUGAGGAGGAGCUUGCUCCUGNGAUUCAGCGGCGGACGGGUGAGUAAUGCCUAGGAAUCUGCCUGGUAGUGGGGGACAACGUUUCGAAAGGAACGCUAAUACCGCAUACGUCCUACGGGAGAAAGCAGGGGACCUUCGGGCCUUGCGCUAUCAGAUGAGCCUAGGUCGGAUUAGCUAGUUGGUGAGGUAAUGGCUCACCAAGGCGACGAUCCGUAACUGGUCUGAGAGGAUGAUCAGUCACACUGGAACUGAGACACGGUCCAGACUCCUACGGGAGGCAGCAGUGGGGAAUAUUGGACAAUGGGCGAAAGCCUGAUCCAGCCAUGCCGCGUGUGUGAAGAAGGUCUUCGGAUUGUAAAGCACUUUAAGUUGGGAGGAAGGGUUGUAGAUUAAUACUCUGCAGUUUUGACGUUACCGACAGAAUAAGCACCGGCUAACUCUGUGCCAGCAGCCGCGGUAAUACAGAGGGUGCAAGCGUUAAUCGGAAUUACUGGGCGUAAAGCGCGCGUAGGUGGUUCGUUAAGUUGGAUGUGAAAUCCCCGGGCUCAACCUGGGAACUGCAUCCAAAACUGGCGAGCUAGAGUAUGGUAGAGGGUGGUGGAAUUUCCUGUGUAGCGGUGAAAUGCGUAGAUAUAGGAAGGAACACCAGUGGCGAAGGCGACCACCUGGACUGAUACUGACACUGAGGUGCG
RNAcentral lists this ribosomal RNA (706 nucleotides) under Pseudomonas sp. RBMP2. Its description in RNAcentral is "bacterial SSU rRNA". It matches the Rfam family "Bacterial small subunit ribosomal RNA", at positions 56 to 755 of the family's 1533-position model. Lineage: Bacteria; Pseudomonadati; Pseudomonadota; Gammaproteobacteria; Pseudomonadales; Pseudomonadaceae. The record is from RNAcentral.